RNAcentral lists this non-coding RNA (27 nucleotides) under Mus musculus (house mouse). Lineage: Eukaryota; Metazoa; Chordata; Mammalia; Rodentia; Muridae. The record is from RNAcentral.
GAAGACCAGGAGCCUGGAAAUCCGCUU